Molecule: ribosomal RNA, 255 nt
Filed under: uncultured bacterium
Lineage: Bacteria
Description: partial 16S ribosomal RNA
Rfam family: Bacterial small subunit ribosomal RNA
Source: RNAcentral
UACGUAGGGUGCAAGCGUUGUCCGGAAUUAUUGGGCGUAAAGAGCUCGUAGGCGGUCUGUCGCGUCGGCUGUGAAAACUCGGGGCUCAACUCCGAGCUUGCAGUCGAUACGGGCAGGCUAGAGUUCGGCAGGGGAGACUGGAAUUCCUGGUGGUAGCGGUGAAAUGCGCAGAGUAUCAAGGAGGAACACCGGUGGCGAAGGCGGGUCUCUGGGCCGAUACUGACGUGAGGAGCGAAAGCGUGGGGAGCGAACAGG